RNAcentral lists this non-coding RNA (27 nucleotides) under Homo sapiens (human). Lineage: Eukaryota; Metazoa; Chordata; Mammalia; Primates; Hominidae. The record is from RNAcentral.
UGGAGACUUCAUAGAUAAACUUGCGGG